UGNGAAUGUGCAAAACUUGGUUAGACUGGU
Molecule: non-coding RNA, 30 nt
Filed under: Mus musculus (house mouse)
Lineage: Eukaryota; Metazoa; Chordata; Mammalia; Rodentia; Muridae
Source: RNAcentral